UUUUGGAAGGUUUUGAACGUCGGGAAACUCAGGUCCGUUGAGUUGCAAAGGUGGCCGGACUAUCGUAGGUUUUUCCGGCGAAUUUUCGGUGGAUUUAAGACUUAAGAGUGGUAAGGUUUUGUUCCUCUCAUCUCAAGCUUCAUUUUGUUAUAUAAUUCAUGAAUUUUAGUUGAGAAAUGAAGAAGAUAUGAAGUUUUAAAGAUUUUUCCAGAAACCGGUGAUCGCAGCUGCACCGACGAACCACAUAUGCUGAUUUUUAAUGGAAUAUCCCCUAACGCCGUUAGGGAAUCCGUUUGGUGUGCCAGGCACGUGCCUGUGCGUGGGCCGCGC
This 330-nucleotide long non-coding RNA is filed under the name Malus domestica (apple). RNAcentral's name for it is "long non-coding RNA (MDOM_LNC009383)". Lineage: Eukaryota; Viridiplantae; Streptophyta; Magnoliopsida; Rosales; Rosaceae. The record is from RNAcentral.